CAGUAGCCACGGGAAUACGAAGGGGGCUAGCGUUGUUCGGAUUUACUGGGCGUAAAGGGUGCGUAGGCGGAUUGUUAAGUCAGGGGUGAAAUGCCGGGGCUCAACCUCGGAACUGCCUUUGAUACUGGCGAUCUUGAGUCCGGGAGAGGUGAGUGGAACUGCGAGUGUAGAGGUGAAAUUCGUAGAUAUUCGCAAGAACACCAGUGGCGAAGGCGGCUCACCGGCCCGGAACUGACGCUGAGGCACGACAGCGUGGGGAGCAAACAGGAUUAGAUACCCCGGUAGUCCCUGUAUCUUAUAC
Molecule: ribosomal RNA, 301 nt
Filed under: uncultured bacterium
Lineage: Bacteria
Description: partial 16S ribosomal RNA
Rfam family: Bacterial small subunit ribosomal RNA
Source: RNAcentral